This 915-nucleotide long non-coding RNA is filed under the name Chloebia gouldiae (Gouldian finch). RNAcentral's name for it is "Erythrura gouldiae (Gouldian finch) lncRNA (ENSEGOG00005009179.1)". Lineage: Eukaryota; Metazoa; Chordata; Aves; Passeriformes; Passeridae. The record is from RNAcentral.
GGGACAGACGGACACACGGGGACAGAUGGACACACGGGGACAGAUGGGGACAGACGGACACACGGGGACAGACAGACACCCAGGGCUGGGGCCCCUCUCACUGGGCUCCUCUCCAGGCUGAGCAGCCCCAGCUCCCUCAGCCUCUCCUGGACACCGGGACGCUCCAGGUCCCUGCUCAGCUGCAGCAGCUCCUGGCCCUGCUGUGCUGAGGAGCCAGGCCUGGACACAGCACCCAGAGGUGCCUCCAGGGCUGAGCCAGACUGCAGAUAUCCUGGUACAAGACUGGUGUGCUAAAUUUUAUUUUAAAAAAUAAUCUGACUCAAAUUUUCACACGAAUCAUAUAUAGAGUAGUUAUGUCAUAAUUUCUAAGGUUGAAGGUGUCUUCCUUCAUCUUGAAGUUCUAACCCUCUGUCAUUCACCUGAAUUAAUUCCCCAAAAUCAUAUAUUCUUGCAACCAUGGUACUUCAAUCAUACUCCAAGUCCCAGGUUCCCAGAAUGGUUUGGGUUGGCAAGGAUCUCAGAGGCCACCUUGUUCCACCCCUGCCAAGGGCAGGGACAUAUCAGGUACAUUAAGGUCACCAUGAUGCACACACCCUGACUUUGGGUGGAACCGGUGUCCUCAUGCCAGCUGCACUAAGCCAACCUCACUGAGGUUCCUGGAAAGGCACAGGCUUCUAAUUACUGUCAACAGAGCUCUUACAUUGUGACAUGAUGCAUCAAGGACAUGACAUCCUACAUUUCAAGCAGUGCUUCCCGAGCAGCGGCAUGAGCAUCUGCGAGACGGGCGGUGAGGAGCUCAGAGAGUGGAACAGGACACGUGGAGACGUGGCACAGCCAGGCUGGGACAGUGUGGGUAGCAAUCACAGCACUGGUGCCAGGGCAGGAGGCGAAUGCUCGUUCCCUUGGGAAAAGGUC